Molecule: ribosomal RNA, 404 nt
Filed under: uncultured bacterium
Lineage: Bacteria
Description: bacterial SSU rRNA
Rfam family: Bacterial small subunit ribosomal RNA
Source: RNAcentral
UUUUGGACAAUGGGCGCAAGCCUGAUCCAGCAAUGCCGCGUGAGUGAAGAAGGCCUUCGGGUUGUAAAGCUCUUUCGUCAGGGAAGAAACGGUGAGCUCUAAUACAGUUUGCUAAUGACGGUACCUGAAGAAUAAGCACCGGCUAACUACGUGCCAGCAGCCGCGGUAAUACGUAGGGUGCAAGCGUUAAUCGGAAUUACUGGGCGUAAAGCGUGCGCAGGCGGUUAUGUAAGUCAGAUGUGAAAUCCCCGGGCUCAACCUGGGAAUGGCAUUUGAGACUGCAUGGCUAGAGUGUGUCAGAGGGGGGUAGAAUUCCACGUGUAGCAGUGAAAUGCGUAGAGAUGUGGAGGAAUACCGAUGGCGAAGGCAGCCCCCUGGGAUAACACUGACGCUCAUGCACGAAA